UGCAGUUAUUAGUCAAGUAAUCCCUUCAUUG
RNAcentral lists this non-coding RNA (31 nucleotides) under Mus musculus (house mouse). The record is from RNAcentral. Lineage: Eukaryota; Metazoa; Chordata; Mammalia; Rodentia; Muridae.